Molecule: small nuclear RNA, 107 nt
Organism: Anolis carolinensis (green anole)
Lineage: Eukaryota; Metazoa; Chordata; Lepidosauria; Squamata; Anolidae
Source: Ensembl
GUGCUCACUUUGGCAGCACGUAGACUAAAACUAGAAAGAUAAAGAGAAGAUUAGCACGGCCCCUUUGCAAGGAUGACAUGGGAAUUCAUGGAGUGUUCCAUAUUUUU